AUUGAACGCUGGCGGCAGGCUUAACACAUGCAAGUCGAGCGGGGGAAGGUAGCUGGCUACUGGACCUAGCGGCGGACGGGUGAGUAAUGCUUAGGAAUCUGCCUAUGAGUGGGGGACAACAUCUCGAAAGGGAUGCUAAUACCGCAUACGUCAUACGGGAGAAAGCAGGGGAUCUCCGGACCUUGGGCUAAGAGAUGAGCAUAAGUCGGAUUAGCUAGUUGGUGGGGUAAAGGCCUACCAAGGCGACGCUCUGUAGCGGGUUUGAGAGGAUGAUCCGCCACCCUUGGACUGAGACCCGGCCCAGACUCCUACGGGAUGCAGCAGUGGGGAAUAUUGGACAAUGGGGGAAACCCUGAUCCAGCCAUGCCGCGUGUGUGAAGAAGGCCUUAUGGUUGUAAAGCACUUUAAGCGAGGCGGAGGCUACUGAGACUAAUACUCUUGGAUAGUGGACGUUACUCGCAGAAUAAGCACCGGCUAACUCUGUGCCAGCAGCCGCCGUAA
RNAcentral lists this ribosomal RNA (501 nucleotides) under uncultured bacterium. Its description in RNAcentral is "partial 16S ribosomal RNA". It matches the Rfam family "Bacterial small subunit ribosomal RNA", at positions 30 to 523 of the family's 1533-position model. The record is from RNAcentral.